AGUUUGCGCAGACAGGUGUCUACGGUCGGAGUGGAAUGAAGAAGUUGCAUCUGAUAAUUCUUCCAUUGUGUAGCAGCAACUGCAGCUGACAUGGAAUGAGGAUUAUCGGAUUCACCUCUCACUGAUCAUCCAAGGUGAAUUGAUGACCUCAAGCAAAUGGAUGUUGUCAUCUGAAGAGAAAGUUAUCCUGGGCCCAUGUUUAGAGGCAUUUGGGGCAUAUCUGACACAUAUCACAAUCAAGCUGCAUGCACACUUGAGUUUAUUCAGAGGUAAUUCAGAG
This is a long non-coding RNA of Paramisgurnus dabryanus, 280 nucleotides long. RefSeq lists it as uncharacterized. Lineage: Eukaryota; Metazoa; Chordata; Actinopteri; Cypriniformes; Cobitidae. The record is from RefSeq and is a predicted model, not a curated record.